RNAcentral lists this ribosomal RNA (495 nucleotides) under uncultured bacterium. RNAcentral describes it as "partial 16S ribosomal RNA". It matches the Rfam family "Bacterial small subunit ribosomal RNA", at positions 36 to 507 of the family's 1533-position model. The record is from RNAcentral.
UCUUCCCUCUGUCGGCGUGCUUAACACAUGCAAGUCGAACGAAGCACCUCUCCCGAAGAUUGACACAGCUUGCUGUAGAUUGAUUCAUUUGAGGUGACUGAGUGGCGGACGGGUGAGUAACGCGUGGGUAACCUGCCUCAUAGAGGGGGACAACAGUUGGAAACGACUGCUAAUACCGCAUAGUAAGAAGAAUUCGCAUGUUUUCUUCUUGAAAGAUUUAUCGCUAUGAGAUGGACCCGCGUCUGAUUAGCUAGUUGGUAAGGUAACGGCUUACCAAGGCGACGAUCAGUAGCCGGCUUGAGAGAGUGAACGGCCACAUUGGGACUGAGACACGGCCCAAACUCCUACGGGAGGCAGCAGUGGGGAAUAUUGCACAAUGGGGGAAACCCUGAUGCAGCGACGCCGCGUGAGUGAAGAAGUAUUUCGGUAUGUAAAGCUCUAUCAGCAGGGAAGAUAAUGACGGUACCUGACUAAGAAGCCCCGGCUAACUACGUG